UACGAAGGGGGCGAGCGUUGUUCGGAUUUACUGGGCGUAAAGGGCGCGCAGGCGGCUAUCCAAGUCAGGCGUGAAAGCCCCGGGCUUAACCUGGGAGGUGCGUCUGGGACUGGGUGGCUAGAGAUCGGGAGAGGAGAGUGGAAUUCCCAGUGUAGAGGUGAAAUUCGUAGAUAUUGGGAAGAACACCGGUGGUGAAGGCGGCUCUCUGGACCGAUACUGACGCUGAGGCGCGAAAGCGUGGGGAGCAAACAGG
This 253-nucleotide ribosomal RNA is filed under the name uncultured bacterium. Its description in RNAcentral is "partial 16S ribosomal RNA". It matches the Rfam family "Bacterial small subunit ribosomal RNA", at positions 524 to 776 of the family's 1533-position model. The record is from RNAcentral.